This 469-nucleotide ribosomal RNA is filed under the name uncultured bacterium. RNAcentral describes it as "partial 16S ribosomal RNA". It matches the Rfam family "Bacterial small subunit ribosomal RNA", at positions 28 to 507 of the family's 1533-position model. The record is from RNAcentral.
GACGAACGCUGGCGGCGUGCUUAACACAUGCAAGUCGAACGGAAAGGCCCUGCUUGCAGGGUGCUCGAGUGGCGAACGGGUGAGUAACACGUGGGUGAUCUGCCCCUUACUUUGGGAUAAGCCUGGGAAACUGGGUCUAAUACUGGAUAGGACCAUGCUGUAGGUGGUGUGGUGGAAAGAUUAGUUUCGGUAAGGGAUGAGCUCGCGGCCUAUCAGCUUGUUGGUGGGGUAAUGGCCUACCAAGGCGUCGACGGGUAGCCGGCCUGAGAGGGUGGACGGCCACAUUGGGACUGAGAUACGGCCCAGACUCCUACGGGAGGCAGCAGUGGGGAAUAGUGCACAAUGGGCGCAAGCCUGAUGCAGCGACGCCGCGUGGGGGAUGACGGCCUUCGGGUUGUAAACUCCUUGCAGCCAUGACGAAGCCCUUGUGGUGACGGUAGUGGUAGAAGAAGCACCGGCUAACUACGUG